UUUGGGUUCACAUACUAAAACUCCAGUCCUGGCAUUCACAUGAAAAGUUCAGACUACGUUUGGGUUGGGGCCGGAGGGACUGCAGCAAGCUAGCACAAGCAUAGGUGACCCACACAAGGUGCCUUAAGAUAACACAAGGAUUGAGCACACACCAAAAAAGGAAAGAAAAGAAAAGGAUUAAGCACAAAGUCUCCAGCUGCCCUGGACACAACUGGAGAGACAGGCAAGCUAGAGGAGCAAGAUGACUGAGACUGACCUUGCCGUCAUACUCCCGGCGAGAGAGCACCUCCGGAGCGAUGUACGCGGGAGUCCCGACCGUCGACUUCGGCUUUGAGUGCAGCAGUGAUGACUGACCACAAAAACAUUCGCAAAAAGAACGGUCUUAGUACGCGUAAGUAACCCACUAUAGAGCUAAAUUAAAGAGCAAUAAAUACGAUAUUUUCGUAAGUCUAAGUGUUCUUUUUGCCA
Non-coding RNA from Oryza sativa Japonica Group (Japanese rice), 468 nucleotides. The record is from RefSeq and is a predicted model, not a curated record. Lineage: Eukaryota; Viridiplantae; Streptophyta; Magnoliopsida; Poales; Poaceae.